RNAcentral lists this ribosomal RNA (331 nucleotides) under uncultured bacterium. RNAcentral describes it as "bacterial SSU rRNA". It matches the Rfam family "Bacterial small subunit ribosomal RNA", at positions 561 to 889 of the family's 1533-position model. The record is from RNAcentral.
UAAAGCGCGUGCAGGCGGUUUGGUAAGUUGGGCGUGAAAGCUCCCGGCUCAACUGGGAGAGGUCGUCCAAUACUACCGGACUAGAGAACAGAAGAGGAAGAUGGAAUUCCCGGUGUAGUGGUGAAAUGCGUAGAUAUCGGGAGGAACACCAGUGGCGAAGGCGGUCUUCUGGUCCUGUUUCUGACGCUCAGACGCGACAGCUAGGGUAGUAAACGGGAUUAGAGACCCCGGUAAUCCUAGCCGUAAACCAUGUGAACUUGGCGUUGGUGGCUUAAACACCAUCAGUGCCGAAGCANNHKCGAUAAGUUCACCGCCUGGGGACUACGGCCGC